Molecule: ribosomal RNA, 465 nt
Filed under: uncultured bacterium
Lineage: Bacteria
Description: partial 16S ribosomal RNA
Rfam family: Bacterial small subunit ribosomal RNA
Source: RNAcentral
CCUACGGGAGGCAGCAGUAGGGAAUUUUCGUCAAUGGGCGCAAGCCUGAACGAGCGAUGCCGCGUGAGUGAAGAAGGCCUUCGGGUCGUAAAGCUCUGUUGCGGGGGAAAAAAGGCAGCAUCAGGAAAUGGGUGCUGACUGAUGGUGCCCCGCCAGAAAGUCACGGCUAACUACGUGCCAGCAGCCGCGGUAAUACGUAGGUGGCGAGCGUUAUCCGGAAUGAUUGGGCGUAAAGGGUGCGCAGGCGGUCCUGCAAGUCUGGAGUGAAACGCAUGAGCUCAACUCAUGCAUGGCUUUGGAAACUGGAGGACUGGAGAGCAGGAGAGGGCGGUGGAACUCCAUGUGUAGCGGUAAAAUGCGUAGAUAUCAGGAGGAACAUCAGUGGCGAAGGCGGCCGCCUGGCACAAAACUGACGCUGAGGUGCGAAAGCGUGGGUAGCAAACAGGAUUAGAUACCCUUGUAGUC